GCCGGGCAUGGUGGCGCAUGCCUGUAAUCCCAGCACUUUGGGAGGCUGAGGCAGGUGGAUUACCUGAGGUCAGGAGUUCAAGACCAGCCUGGUCAACAUGAUGAAACCCUGUCUCUA
Unclassified non-coding RNA from Callithrix jacchus (white-tufted-ear marmoset), 117 nucleotides. It matches the Rfam family "Metazoan signal recognition particle RNA". From Rfam's summary of the family: The signal recognition particle (SRP) is a universally conserved ribonucleoprotein. It is involved in the co-translational targeting of proteins to membranes. Lineage: Eukaryota; Metazoa; Chordata; Mammalia; Primates; Cebidae. The record is from Ensembl.